UUGGAGGGCAAGUCUGGUGCCAGCAGCCGCGGUAAUUCCAGCUCCAAUAGCGUAUAUUAAAGUUGUUGCAGUUAAAAAGCUCGUAGUUGAAUUUCGGGAUCAAUGUUUCGGUCAUGCCGUUGGUAUGUACUGAUAUUAUUGAUUUCUCACCUUCUAAAGAACCGUAAUGCCAUUAAUUUGGUGUCACGGGGAAUUAGGACUGUUACCUUGAAGAAAUUAGAGUGUUUAAAGCAGGCUCACGCUUGAAUACAUUAGCAUGGAAUAAUGAAAUAGGACAUCCGAUUCUAUUUUGUUGGUUUCUAGGAUCGAUGUAAUGAUUAAUAGGGAUAGUUGGGGGCAUUAGUAUUCAAUUGUCAGAGGUGAAAUUUUUGGAUUUAUUGAAGACUAACUACUGCGAAAGCAUUUGCCAAGGAUGUUUUCAUUAAUCAAGAACGAAAGUUAGGGGAUCGAAGACGAUCAGAUACCGUCGUAGUCUUAACCAUAAACUAUGCCGACUAGGGAUCGGAUGAUGUUAAUUUUUUAAUGACUCAUUCGGCGCCUUACGGGAAAC
This 550-nucleotide ribosomal RNA is filed under the name uncultured Glomeromycotina. RNAcentral describes it as "SSU rRNA". It matches the Rfam family "Eukaryotic small subunit ribosomal RNA", at positions 548 to 1098 of the family's 1831-position model. The record is from RNAcentral. Lineage: Eukaryota; Fungi; Glomeromycota.